This 166-nucleotide small nucleolar RNA is filed under the name Candida maltosa Xu316. RNAcentral's name for it is "Small nucleolar RNA snR80". It matches the Rfam family "Small nucleolar RNA snR80". The record is from Rfam by way of RNAcentral. Lineage: Eukaryota; Fungi; Ascomycota; Pichiomycetes; Serinales; Debaryomycetaceae.
AACUGUUUGCCAACACUCUGGUGCCAAAUCAUCAUUGGAAAUAUAAUUUUCCUUUGAUGCCAUAUUUGGUUCCUAUUUUGGUGCAAACUAGAAUGAUUAGCUUACUACUCACCAUUGUAUACCAACAUUUUGAUGGUUACAAUAGGUCCAUUUCAUUAGCUAACAU